RNAcentral lists this ribosomal RNA (429 nucleotides) under Hesperonatalius harrietae. RNAcentral's name for it is "partial 16S ribosomal RNA". It matches the Rfam family "Bacterial large subunit ribosomal RNA", at positions 1834 to 2597 of the family's 2925-position model. Lineage: Eukaryota; Metazoa; Arthropoda; Arachnida; Araneae; Anamidae. The record is from RNAcentral.
UAAAAGAACUCAUUUUUAGUAUAGCCUGCUCAAUGAAGUUUAAAUAGCCGCAGUCUCCUGUGCUAAGGUAGCAUAAUCAUUUGCCUAAUAAUUAUAGGAUAGAAUGAAAGGUUACACAUGUUAUCUUCUUUAUUAAAAAGGCUAAAUUAACUUAAAAUUUAAGUAAAAACCCUUAAAUCACUAGGGGGACGACAAGACCCUGUCGAACUUUACAUCUAAUGUUUAGCUGGGGCGGCAAGUAAAUAAAACCUUUACUCUCUCAUCAUCUAAAAACCCUUAAAUACGAUACAAUCAAGUUACCGCAGGGAUAACAGCAUAAUCUUCUCCUAAAGACCUUAUAAAAGAGAAAGUUUGUGACCUCGAUGUUGAAUUAAAAUUCUUUUGGAAGCAGAAUUCUAAAUAGAGAGUCUGUUCGACUCUUAAAUAUUU